CCUACGGGUGGCAGCAGUGAGGAAUAUUGGUCAAUGGGCGGAAGCCUGAACCAGCCAAGUAGCGUGAAGGAUGACGGCCCUACGGGUUGUAAACUGCUUUUAUACGGGAAUAACGCGCCUUACGUGUAGUGCGUUGCAUGUACCGUAUGAAAAAGGACCGGCUAAUUCCGUGCCAGCAGCCGCGGUAAUACGGAAGGUCCGGGCGUUAUCCGGAUUUAUUGGGUUGAAGGGGUGCGUAGGCCGCAUGUCAAGCGUACUGUGAAAUGUCCGGGGGCAACCCGGGCCGUGCAGCGCAAACUGGUGUGCUAGAGUGCGCGGAAAGCAGGCGGAAUGCGUGGUGUAGCGGUGAAAUGCUUAGAUAUGACGAAGAACCCCGAUUGCGAAGGCAGCUUACUGGAGCGGAACUGACGCUGAUGCUCGAAAGCGUGGGUAUCGAACAGGAUUAGAUACCCUUGUAGUC
RNAcentral lists this ribosomal RNA (460 nucleotides) under uncultured bacterium. RNAcentral's name for it is "partial 16S ribosomal RNA". It matches the Rfam family "Bacterial small subunit ribosomal RNA", at positions 338 to 795 of the family's 1533-position model. The record is from RNAcentral.